This 200-nucleotide unclassified non-coding RNA is filed under the name Ustilago sp. RNAcentral describes it as "partial internal transcribed spacer 2". Lineage: Eukaryota; Fungi; Basidiomycota; Ustilaginomycetes; Ustilaginales; Ustilaginaceae. The record is from RNAcentral.
UUAAGUUCAGCGGGUAGUCCUACCAAUCUGAGGCCGAUGAAUUGAAAAAUAAAUCCCUUCCUCUGUGGUUAAAGCAGAGGCAUGGGCGGGGUUCAGAAGCACGCCAAACAGCAGAAAAGUCGUUGCGUCCAGCUCCCGCCCUCUCUUCGCCUCCGAAGUCCUGACAUUAUCAAAACCCGGCAGGGAAGCGAGGGCAAAAA